Non-coding RNA from Phytophthora infestans T30-4, 72 nucleotides. The record is from the annotation of a RefSeq genome assembly. Lineage: Eukaryota; Oomycota; Peronosporomycetes; Peronosporales; Peronosporaceae.
GUCCUUACAGCUCAAUGGUAGAGCUCCGGUCUGGCAAGCCAAAGGCCAGUGGUUCGAUCUCUGUCUGGGACA